AGGGGAGUGGUGGAGCCGACGAACCAGACUUGUAGUAGGUGAGUGAUGGGGUGACGCAGGAAGGUAGUCCAGCCCGGGCGGUGGUUGUCCCGGGGUAAGGGUGUAGGACGCACGGUAGGCAAAUCCGUCGUGCAUGAUGUCUGAGACCUGAUGCCGAGCCGAUUGUGGUGAAGUGGAUGAUCCUAUGCUGUCGAGAAAAGCCUCUAGCGAGUUUCAUGGCGGCCCGUACCCUAAACCGAC
Molecule: ribosomal RNA, 240 nt
Filed under: Streptomyces griseoflavus
Lineage: Bacteria; Bacillati; Actinomycetota; Actinomycetes; Kitasatosporales; Streptomycetaceae
Description: partial 23S ribosomal RNA
Rfam family: Bacterial large subunit ribosomal RNA
Source: RNAcentral